RNAcentral lists this transfer RNA (70 nucleotides) under Camponotus atrox. RNAcentral's name for it is "tRNA-Met". The record is from RNAcentral. Lineage: Eukaryota; Metazoa; Arthropoda; Insecta; Hymenoptera; Formicidae.
AAAUAAGUAAGCUAAUUUAAAGCUUUUAGGUUCAUACCCUAAAAAUAGAUAUAUAACCCUCUCUUAUUUA